UUGAUUCAUUUGUUUAUGAUUCCACUCAGACAUGCUAGGUAAGAAAAAUACAAGAGUUUGGGUCCCCCGGCGGGCGCCUGGUUCCGGCGGCUCCUUUCGGGGCCUUCCGGGGCGUUAACCCGCCGAAGCAACGGUAAAGGUAUAAGUUCACAGGGGUUUGGGAGUUGUAAGACUCGGUAAUGAUCCCUCCGCUGGUUCACCAACGGAGA
This 209-nucleotide unclassified non-coding RNA is filed under the name uncultured fungus. RNAcentral's name for it is "sequence contains ITS1". The record is from RNAcentral. Lineage: Eukaryota; Fungi.